GAACGCACAUUGCGCCCAUUAGUAUUCUAGUGGGCAUGCCUGUUCGAGCGUCAUUUAGUCCACUUAAGCCUUUGCUUAGUAUUGGGAGUCUACUUUUACACUGUAGUUGUAGUUCCUCAAAGACAGCGGCGGAGUCGUGGUUUUACUCUGAGCUUAGUAAUUUUUUUCUAGCUUUCGGGUUGCCAUUGCCCCCUUGCCGUAAAACACCCUUUAUUUUUUAAUGGUUGACCUCGGAUCAGGUAGGAAUACCCGCUGAACUUAAG
Molecule: unclassified non-coding RNA, 263 nt
Filed under: uncultured Sordariomycetes
Lineage: Eukaryota; Fungi; Ascomycota; Sordariomycetes
Description: sequence contains 5.8S rRNA gene
Rfam family: 5.8S ribosomal RNA (bases 1-53)
Source: RNAcentral